RNAcentral lists this ribosomal RNA (117 nucleotides) under Ensifer meliloti. The record is from RNAcentral. Lineage: Bacteria; Pseudomonadati; Pseudomonadota; Alphaproteobacteria; Hyphomicrobiales; Rhizobiaceae.
UCUGGUGGCGAUGGCGAGAAGGUCACACCCGUUCCCAUACCGAACACGGAAGUUAAGCUUCUCAGCGCCGAUGGUAGUUGGGGGCUGUCCCCCUGUGAGAGUAGGACGCUGCCGGGC